GAUGAACGCUAGCGGCAGGCCUAGCACAUGCAAGUCGAGGGGUAGAAGUUGCUUGCAACUUUGAGACCGGCGCACGGGUGCGUAACGCGUAUGCAAUCUGCCUUGUACUGAGGGAUAGCCCAGAGAAAUUUGGAUUAAUACCUCAUAGCAUUAUGAUGUGGCAUCACAUUAUAAUUAAAGUUCCAACGGUACAAGAUGAGCAUGCGUCCCAUUAGUUAGUUGGUAAGGUAACGGCUUACCAAGACGAUGAUGGGUAGGGGUCCUGAGAGGGAGAUCCCCCACACUGGUACUGAGACACGGACCAGACUCCUACGGGAGGCAGCAGUGAGGAAUAUUGGUCAAUGGGCGCAAGCCUGAACCAGCCAUGCCGCGUGCAGGAUGACGCAUCUAUGGUGUGUAAACUGCUUUUGUACAGGAAGAAACACUCCCUCGUGAGGGAGCUUGACGGUACUGUAAGAAUAAGGAUCGGCUAACUCCGUGCCAGCCGCCGCCGUAA
RNAcentral lists this ribosomal RNA (496 nucleotides) under uncultured bacterium. Its description in RNAcentral is "partial 16S ribosomal RNA". It matches the Rfam family "Bacterial small subunit ribosomal RNA", at positions 28 to 523 of the family's 1533-position model. The record is from RNAcentral.